This is a long non-coding RNA of Hevea brasiliensis (rubber tree), 1546 nucleotides long. RefSeq lists it as uncharacterized. The record is from RefSeq and is a predicted model, not a curated record. NCBI's taxonomy places the organism in Eukaryota, Viridiplantae, Streptophyta, Magnoliopsida, Malpighiales, Euphorbiaceae. The transcript has 3 exons.
GGGCAGCAUCUCAAACCCUUCCAGGCAUCCGACCUUCUCAAGGCAAGCUCAGGCACACAGAGGGGCAAGGCGUUUUGUAGCAAGCCUAGGCCUCUGAUCUGGAUUUUUUUUUUUUUUCUCUUUUUGUUGAGAGUUGAUUAUCUACUGCAGUUUUUUUUUUCCUUUUCUUUCUUAUUCAUUUCGUCUUGCUCCUUUGCUUCUACCCGAUCUGGCAUAGUCUUUUUCUUUUUUCUGUUGUGCCUUUUUUUAUUCCCUGCUGCUGUUUUUUUUCUUUUUUCCUGUGAUGUUACUGUUUUUUUUUUUUUUUUUUUUCUCUUUUUCUGUCAUUUCUUUCCCGUAAGCUUUGGUGUCUUUCACAAAUUAUACAAAUCAUCUAUUGCUCCAUCCUACUCACAUUUUUUUUUUUUAAUUCUCCCAAUACAGACCUAAUAGGUGCCAUCCACAUAUGGGCAUGGCUUGGAUACCUGUGAUAAAACAAUAAUUAUACAGUUAAUCAAAAUUUUGUUAAUAAAGUGGGAUGCAUGGGCAGUCUCAAAAGAAAAUAAAUAUAAGCAAACCCACUAUAAAAUUAGCAGUUGCAAUAGCAUAACGGCAGUAGAAUAGAUAUAAGAAAACCCACUGUUAAUGAUGGGUUUAAUUGAUGAAAUUCACAAAAUUGGAGUGCUUAAUUGAGCCUGAUUAUAAUUCAGGUCUGAAACUCACUCCCCCUUGUAGUUUUGGUGGCUAAAUUAUACUUUUGGCCUUUUUUUUUAAUCUUCAGUGGCUCAUUUGUUAUUGCAUUUGGCUUUAAUGAUUCUCAGAACUUAAAGAUACUGUUAGAGCAAUUAGGUAAUUGACAUUAAAGGCUCAAAAAAUACUUGGAAGAUGUUCUGCUUUGCAAACAAGCAAUCCCCUUCUGGUGCCUCUAUGGUGGUGUUGGAUUGGAUGAAUUGCUCAGGCCAAGAAUCGCCAUGCAAAUGAUCAAGAAUGCUGGCCUCUUAAAUCUGCCAGAAUCAUUCUUGAUUUGCUUAAGCAGGGUGAAAGGCCUGGAUAUGGAUGGAUGAAACAAACACAAGAGCAUAGGUACUGAACCUGUGCUUGACAGAAUUAAUCAGCUAGUUCAAAUUUUCUUUUGCUUCAAUUCUCACGAUUGGGACUUAGCUGGCUUCCAGAAAGCACAAGAAUACACGAGCUCUAUGUGUGUGCCUGAGAUGCAGCAGUAGGAGUUCUUACCAUUGAUUUCUUUGGACAACCCCCAUUCUGGAAAGAUGUCUUUCUGGAUGUUAUCAAUUGUAUGUUGCUCCUCAGAUUUUGGAGUGUAGAAAAACUUUCAAAUGGAUUUUUGUAGGAAAAAAGGUGACUGGAUGUUUAAUACUUUCCAACUAUACGUGUUUUCACAAACUCUCACAGAUUAAUCUUAUGUUGAGUUGUAGAGAUAUAGAACGCAUACCAUGUUUAUAUCGAGUUGGUGUCUUAGGCUGAGCUAUCUAGGUACAUGGUUGUUGUAGAGGUUGGAAUGACAUUUUCGUUGUCAUCUUAGCUAAUUUUUUACAUAUCUUAAAUAUGC